Molecule: long non-coding RNA, 2237 nt
Organism: Oncorhynchus keta (chum salmon)
Lineage: Eukaryota; Metazoa; Chordata; Actinopteri; Salmoniformes; Salmonidae
Exons: 5
Source: RefSeq, a predicted model, not a curated record
GUGCCAGCAUCGGUCUGUGUUUUGGUAUGUAGACAGCUAUGGCAAAUAAAGAUGAAAACUCUCAAGGUAGAUAGUGUAGAUAGAGGUAGAUAGAUACUCUACCUCAGGCAAAACCUAGAGACUUCCUUAGACAUUGUCCAGCAGCUGUUGUUCACAUAUAUGCAUAGGCCCCGCCCUGUGUCUUACCAGAGGCUGCUGUUCUGUCCUGCUGAUGGAGUGUAUAACCUGCCAGCUGUAUGUUCUUAAUGUCGUCGUUCAGCCACGGCUCGGUGAAACAUACGAUUUUACAGUUUUUAAUGUCCCGUUGGUAGGAUAUACAUGAUUUCAGUUCGUCCCAUUUAUUUUCCAGCAAAUGAACAUUAGCUAGCAGGAUGGAAGGUAAGGGCAGAUUAUCCACUCGUCGCCUGAUCCUCACAAGGCACCCGGAUCUUUUUCCACUAAAUUUCCAUUUCCUUCUCCAGCGAAUCCCGGGGAUCUCGGCCUGGUCGGGUGUUUGUUGUUGUAUAUCCCUCCUGUCUGAAGAAGAAGAACUCUUCGUCCAGUUUGAGACACAGAAAGCUGUGACGGCCUGUAUGCAGAUGAAGAGCCGUGGUUCUCAGUCUGGUCCUGGGGACUCAAAGGGGUGUACAUGUUUGUUUUUUGCCUUAGCUUCAAGUGGUAUUUAUGUAUUCAUUUGUGAUGCUAUCCUUGAUAUGAUCCUGCAUUUGUCACAUGCUAUACAUGCACAUGUGUGUGCUCAUGCAUCUAUCUAUCCAAUGUUAUCAUGAUUUGUUUUAAGAUAUAUUAUAGUGUAGUAAUCCACAAUAACCUGGUGAUGUAAAAGUCUAGUAAUUACAUUAUCUUCCAUAUUCCUACAGAUAUCUUGCAACUGGAGAUUCCAUCAAAACGAUUGCCUACAGUUACCGUGUAGGGCACUGCACGGUUGGGUGACCAGGACCAUCUGAGACUGCCUCGUGGGGGAAUUCUUCCAUUUACUUAGCUAUGUCAACUGCAGUUAUUCAAAUCCCAUUUUCUUGCCCUUCGACUGUACAAAAACAGGCUCUUUUAAGAUUGGAAAAAUAUAGAACAAUUAGACACCCUACAACCCACACCUACAUUGUAUCAAUCUGAUUGAUGUAUUGUGUUGUUCAGUAAGCAGGAUCAGGUGUAUAGAUGUGGCUCCUUCUACUUUCAGAGAAUAGGCAAGAGGACCAACCAUGGAGAAUGAAUCCCUUGACAUCGGCUGUAUCUGUGACCCUCUCCCGCUUCUGAACUGCCUGACACAGAGAGCACAGCAUGAUCAGAGGUAUCUUUUGAUGUGAGCGGAUGACAACUCCCAACCCUCGGGCCAAUUGGGGGCCCAAUGCUUGGGUGCUGUAGGUGUCCUGGAGGGCAGGCAGUGUGCCCCUGGUGAUGCGUUGGACCAACCGCACCACCCUCUGGAGAGCCCUGUGGUUGCAGGCGGUGCAGUUGCCAUACGAGGUGGCGAUACAGCCCGACAGGAUGCUCUCAAUUGUGUAUCUGUAAAGAUUUGUGAGGGUCUUAGGUGCCAAGCUGAAUUUCUUCAGCUUCCUGAGGUUGAAGGAGUUUUUGCACCUUCUUCACCACACUGUCUGUGGGUGGACCAUUCAAGAUUGUCAGUGAUGUGUACGCUGAGGAAUUUAAAACUUUCCACCUUCUCCUCUGCGGUCCCGUUGAUGUGGAUAGGCCCGUGCUCCCUCUGCUGUUUCCUGAAGUCCACGAUCAGCUCCAUUUUGUUGAGGGAGAGUUAUUUUCCUGGCACCACUCUCCCAGGGCCCUCACCUCCUCCCUGUAGGCUGUCUCAUCAUUGUUUGUAAUCAGGCCUACUACUGUUGUCAUCUGCUGAGUUGCAGAGUGAGAAUGUGUAACCAUUGAUGUCCCAGAACCAGGAUUGGUAUACACUGUCGAAGUGUAUAAUAGUAAUACAUACACGCAGACACAGCAUCAUUCAAAGACUGGAGUUUAAUACUCCUAUUGGAUAUGACUGAAAAAUAAUGUCUCACAUACAUUCAUAAUUGAACCGCACCUUUAUUUUUUUCAAGGUCGUGCAUUAUCAUUGAAUAUAUCCAAUGUAUAGGCUACAGUGUGGUGACUCAUGCUUGGUAAUAACUACGCUCUAUGUAUGUAUACAGUGGCAGAGCCCCACCUGUUUUGAGCCCCACCUGUUUAGCUAAGAAAAACAAAUAAUAAAAAAAAGUUUUUUUGUGUUGCUGUUUUGCACACCAUUUUGGCAUUAA